RNAcentral lists this ribosomal RNA (984 nucleotides) under Eulimnogammarus vittatus. RNAcentral's name for it is "16S ribosomal RNA". The stretch from base 609 to 935 matches the Rfam family "Archaeal large subunit ribosomal RNA", at positions 2149 to 2717 of the family's 2987-position model. The record is from RNAcentral. Lineage: Eukaryota; Metazoa; Arthropoda; Malacostraca; Amphipoda; Eulimnogammaridae.
AUCGUUAGAUACUUAUAAAGAUAAAGAAAGUCUGGUUACUGUACCUUUUGUAUCAGGGGAAUACAAAAUAACUAUAUAUUUAUUAAUCGAGUAAUACGGAACUUUUUAUUUAAGUGAUAGUUAAAUUUAUAGCUGCAAUUUUUUAUGGGGUGAUAAGUGUACGGUGUAUUUGGUACCUAUUUACUUUAUUAAUAGAAGGUUAAGCUUCUCUUAAUCUAUAUAUAAUUUAUUUGAGUAAAGAAAACAAGGCUUUAAAUUAGCUUAGUUAUUAAAUUGUUUUAAAUAAUUUUAAAAAUUAAAAGCUUUAUUAGACUUAAAAGGUUAAUUAAAAUAUAAUUUGUUUAAAUUAAUAAUGAAUUUAUUGAAUAUAUAGUGAAAAUAUAAAGUUACUCAGAUUAAGUUAGAUUGUUUAGCAAAAACAUUUUUUUCUAAAAUAAAAUAAAAUAUGGCCUGCCCAGUGAUAAUUAAACGGCUGCGGUAUUUUGACUGUGCUAAGGUAGCAUAAUAAUUUGUUUCUUAAUUGGAAGCUGGAAUGAACGGUUGAGCUGGUUUAAUAAGUUUGUGUAUUUAAAUAGAAAGUUAAAGUCAAGGUAAGAAUUCUUUGAUUGCUUAGGGGACGAUAAGACCCUAUAAGCUUUAUAAACAUAUAAAUGAUUUUGUUUUUUGAGUUAGUUUAUUUUACUGGGGCGGUAUUGGUGUAUUAACUACCAGUUAGUUCAAGAUCCUAAAAAUAUGGACGGCGUGUAAAAGUUACUUUAGGGGUAACAGUGCAAUAUUUUUGGAGAGGCCUUAUCGAUGAAUAUGUUUGCAACCUCGAUGUUGAAUUAAAAUAUCUAUGUGAAGCAGAAGGUACAUGAGAGGGUUUGUUCAACCUUUAAAUUUUUACAUGAUUUGAGUUCAAAUCGGUUUAAGCCAGAUUGGAUUUUAUCUCUAAGUAUGUUUAAGGCCUUUUUAGUACGAAAGGGUUGAUUGGCCUUUGUUUGC